RNAcentral lists this ribosomal RNA (798 nucleotides) under uncultured Chlorobiota bacterium. RNAcentral's name for it is "bacterial SSU rRNA". It matches the Rfam family "Bacterial small subunit ribosomal RNA", at positions 690 to 1501 of the family's 1533-position model. Lineage: Bacteria; Pseudomonadati; Chlorobiota. The record is from RNAcentral.
GUAGAUAUCAGUUAGAACACCAAUGGCGAAGGCAGUCACCUAUCUCAUAAUUGACGCUAAAGCACGAAAGUGUGGGUAGCAAACAGGAUUAGAUACCCUGGUAGUCCACACCCUAAACGAUGAGUACUAGUUAUUGGGCUUUUUAAAGUUCAGUGACUUAGCUAACGCAUUAAGUACUCCACCUGGGAAGUACGAUCGCAAGGUUGAAACUCAAAGGAAUUGACGGGGGCCCGCACAAGCAGUGGAGCAUGUGGUUUAAUUCGAUGCAACGCGAAGAAUCUUACCUAGGCUUGAAACGCAUAUUAAAUUCAGUGAAAGCUGUUGUCCCGCAAGGGGAAUAUGUACAGGUGCUGCAUGGCUGUCGUCAGCUCGUGCCGUGAGGUGUUGGGUUAAGUCCCGCAACGAGCGCAACCCUCGUCCUUAGUUGCCAUCAAGUAAUGUUGGGCACUCUAAGGAGACUGCCUACGCAAGUAGUGAGGAAGGUGGGGAUGAUGUCAAGUCCGCAUGGCCCUUACGCCUAGGGCCACACACGUGCUACAAUGGCCAUCACAAAGGGUCGCAAUACCGCAAGGUGGAGCCAAUCCCUAAAAAAUGGUCUCAGUUCGGAUUGGAGUCUGCAACUCGACUCCAUGAAGCUGGAAUUGCUAGUAAUCGCUGAUCAGAACACAGCGGUGAAUACGUUCCCGGGCCUUGUACACACCGCCCGUCAAGCCAUGGAAGCUGGAAGUACCCGAAGUCACCUUUAAUAAGUGCCGAAGGUAAAGCCAGUGACUGGGGCUAAGUCGUAACAAGGUAACC